This 933-nucleotide ribosomal RNA is filed under the name uncultured bacterium. Its description in RNAcentral is "bacterial SSU rRNA". It matches the Rfam family "Bacterial small subunit ribosomal RNA", at positions 56 to 984 of the family's 1533-position model. The record is from RNAcentral.
UGCAAGUCGANCGGCAGCACGGGGGCAACCCUGGUGGCGAGUGGCGAACGGGUGAGUAAUAUAUCGGAACGUGCCCUGGAGUGGGGGAUAACUAGUCGAAAGAUUAGCUAAUACCGCAUACGAUCUACGGAUGAAAGUGGGGGAUCGCAAGACCUCAUGCUCGUGGAGCGGCCGAUAUCUGAUUAGCUAGUUGGUGGGGUAAAGGCCUACCAAGGCAUCGAUCAGUAGCUGGUCUGAGAGGACGACCAGCCACACUGGGACUGAGACACGGCCCAGACUCCUACGGGAGGCAGCAGUGGGGAAUUUUGGACAAUGGGCGCAAGCCUGAUCCAGCAAUGCCGCGUGAGUGAAGAAGGCCUUCGGGUUGUAAAGCUCUUUUGUCAGGGAAGAAACGGUGGAGGUUAAUACCUUCUGCUAAUGACGGUACCUGAAGAAUAAGCACCGGCUAACUACGUGCCAGCAGCCGCGGUAAUACGUAGGGUGCAAGCGUUAAUCGGAAUUACUGGGCGUAAAGCGUGCGCAGGCGGUUGUGCAAGACAGAUGUGAAAUCCCCGGGCUCAACCUGGGAAUUGCAUUUGUGACUGUACGGCUAGAGUGUGUCAGAGGGGGGUAGAAUUCCACGUGUAGCAGUGAAAUGCGUAGAGAUGUGGAGGAAUACCGAUGGCGAAGGCAGCCCCCUGNGAUAACACUGACGCUCAUGCACGAAAGCGUGGGGAGCAAACAGGAUUAGAUACCCUGNUAGUCCACGCCCUAAACGAUGUCUACUAGUUGUCGGGUCUUUAUUGACUUGGUAACGCAGCUAACGCGUGAAGUANACCGCCUGGGGAGUACGGUCGCAAGAUUAAAACUCAAAGGAAUUGACGGGGACCCGCACAAGCGGUGGAUGAUGUGGAUUAAUUCGAUGCAACGCGAAAAANCNUUACCUACCCUUGA